GACAGAGGCCUCAAGCGUUAGGCGGAAUCACUGGGCUUAAAGGGCGCGUAGGCGGCCAGCACAAGUCAGUUGUGAAAUCUCCGGGCUUAACUCGGAAAGGUCAACUGAUACUGUGCGACUAGAGUGCAGAAGGGGCAACUGGAAUUCUCGGUGUAGCGGUGAAAUGCGCAGAUAUCGGGAGGAACACCGGUGGCGAAGGCGGUUCUCUGGGCCUUACCUGACGCUGAGGAGCGAAAGCGUGGGGAGCGAACAGG
This 254-nucleotide ribosomal RNA is filed under the name uncultured bacterium. RNAcentral describes it as "partial 16S ribosomal RNA". It matches the Rfam family "Bacterial small subunit ribosomal RNA", at positions 524 to 776 of the family's 1533-position model. The record is from RNAcentral.